This 482-nucleotide ribosomal RNA is filed under the name uncultured bacterium. Its description in RNAcentral is "bacterial SSU rRNA". It matches the Rfam family "Bacterial small subunit ribosomal RNA", at positions 17 to 518 of the family's 1533-position model. The record is from RNAcentral.
UUAUGGCUCAGGACGAACGCUGGCGGCGUGCUUCAUACAUGCAAGUCGAACGAGAAGUUACCUUCGGGUAAUGGAAAGUGGCGGACGGGUGAGUAAUGUGUAGAGAAUCUGCCCUAGAGUGGGGGACAACAGUUGGAAACGACUGCUAAUACCGCAUAUGCGCGUAGCUGAGAUGCUAUUUGUGAAAACUAAGGUGCUCUGGGAUGAGUCUGCAUCUGAUUAGCUAGUUGGCGGUGUAAUGGACCACCAAGGCGACGAUCAGUAGCUGGUUUGAGAGGAUGAUCAGCCACAAUGGGACUGAGACACGGCCCAUACUCCUACGGGAGGCAGCAGUAGGGAAUUUUGCGCAAUGGGGGAAACCCUGAACCGCAGCAACGCCGCGUGAUUGAAUAAGCCCUUCGGGGUGUAAAGAUCUGUCAGUGGGGACGAAACUUGACGGUACCCACAGAGGAAGCAUCGGCUAACUCCGUGCCAGCCGCCGC